This 396-nucleotide ribosomal RNA is filed under the name uncultured bacterium. RNAcentral describes it as "bacterial SSU rRNA". It matches the Rfam family "Bacterial small subunit ribosomal RNA", at positions 20 to 403 of the family's 1533-position model. The record is from RNAcentral.
UGGCUCAGGACGAACGCUGGCGGCGUGCCUAAUACAUGCAAGUCGAGCGGAUGAUGGAGGAGCUUGCUCCUCCUGAUUCAGCGGCGGACGGGUGAGUAACACGUGGGCAACCUGCCCUGUAGAUUGGGAUAACUCCGGGAAACCGGGGCUAAUACCGAAUAAUCCACCGGACCUCAUGGUCUGGUGUUGAAAGACGGCAUCUCGCUGUCACUACAGGAUGGGCCCGCGGCGCAUUAGCUAGUUGGUGAGGUAACGGCUCACCAAGGCCACGAUGCGUAGCCGACCUGAGAGGGUGAUCGGCCACACUGGGACUGAGACACGGCCCAGACUCCUACGGGAGGCAGCAGUAGGGAAUCUUCCACAAUGGGCGAAAGCCUGAUGGAGCAACGCCGCGUG